AUUAUGGAUCUGUGGAGCUGCUUAUUUCCAGUGAUGCUGAUGGAGCCAUCCAAAGGGCUGGAAGAUUCAGAGUGGAAAAUGGCUCUUCAGAUGAGAAUGCAACUGCCCUGCCUGGUACUUGGCGAAGAACAGACGUGCACUUAGAGAACCCAGAAUACCACACCAGAUGGUAUUUCAAAUAUUUUUUAGGACAAGUCCAUCAGAACUACAUUGGAAACGAUGCAGAGAAGAGCCCUUUCUUCUUGUCCGUGACCCUUUCUGACCAAAACAAUCAACGUGUCCCUCAAUACCGUGCAAUUCUUUGGAGAAAAACAGGUACCCAGAAAAUAUGCCUUCCCUACAGUCCCACAAAAACUCUUUCUGUGAAGUCCAUCUUAAGUGCCAUGAAUCUGGACAAAUUUGAGAAAGGCCCCAGGGAAAUUUUUCAUCCUGAAAUACAAAAGGCUGAAAAUAUUUUCAGAAGAGAGCGUACCACUCUUUGGCCCUCCCUUGCCAACUCCACCAGUGUUUACAGACCACCAGGAAUUCAGGGACUUUUUGCUAGUGAAA
Molecule: small RNA, 549 nt
Filed under: Pan troglodytes (chimpanzee)
Lineage: Eukaryota; Metazoa; Chordata; Mammalia; Primates; Hominidae
Also listed under: 1 other name
Description: processed transcript
Source: RNAcentral